This is a small nuclear RNA of Fukomys damarensis (Damara mole-rat), 115 nucleotides long. Its record names the gene U4. It matches the Rfam family "U4 spliceosomal RNA". From Rfam's summary of the family: U4 small nuclear RNA (U4 snRNA) is a component of the major U2-dependent spliceosome. The structure of U4 snRNA from yeast and human has been reported. Lineage: Eukaryota; Metazoa; Chordata; Mammalia; Rodentia; Bathyergidae. The record is from Ensembl.
AACUUUGCACACUGGCAAUAUCAUAGCUAGUGAGGUUUACCUGAGGUGUGAUUAUCAGUAAAUGACAUUGAACAUCUUUUACGUGAUUGUGCAUUUUUGUAUUUUCUUUGGAGAA